UACGUAGGGGGCAAGCGUUGUCCGGAAUUAUUGGGCGUAAAGAGCGUGUAGGCGGCCAGAUAAGUCCGCUGUGAAAUCUCGAGGCUCAACUUCGAGCUGUCGGUGGAAACUAUCUGGCUAGAGUCCGGAAGAGGAGAAUGGAAUUCCUGGUGUAGCGGUGAAAUGCGCAGAUAUCAGGAAGAACACCCGUGGCGAAGGCGGUUCUCUGGGACGGUACUGACGCUGAGACGCGAAAGCGUGGGGAGCGAACGGG
Molecule: ribosomal RNA, 253 nt
Filed under: uncultured bacterium
Lineage: Bacteria
Description: partial 16S ribosomal RNA
Rfam family: Bacterial small subunit ribosomal RNA
Source: RNAcentral